Molecule: ribosomal RNA, 206 nt
Filed under: uncultured bacterium
Lineage: Bacteria
Description: partial 16S ribosomal RNA
Rfam family: Bacterial small subunit ribosomal RNA
Source: RNAcentral
UACGAAGGUCCCAAGCGUUAUCCGGAUUUAUUGGGUUUAAAGGGUGCGUAGGCGGGUUGUUAAGUCAGUGGUGAAAGCUCCAUGCCUAACAUGGAAAUUGCCAUUGAUACUGACGAUCUUGAGUACAUUUGAAGUGGGCGGAAUGUGUCAUGUAGCGGUGAAAUGCUUAGAUAUGAACACAGAACACCGAUUGCGUAGGCAGCUCA